UACGGAGGGUGCGAGCGUUGUUCGGAAUUACUGGGCGUAAAGCGCGUGUAGGCGGCCGAUUAAGUCUGGUGUGAAAGCCCGGGGCUCACCCUCGGAAGUGCGCUGGAAACUGGUCGGCUAGAGUAUGGGAGAGGAAAGUGGAAUUCCCAGUGUAGAGGUGAAAUUCGUAGAUAUUGGGAAGAACACCGGUGGCGAAGGCGGCCAUCUGGACCACUACUGACGCUGAGGCGCGAAAGCGUGGGGAGCAAACAGGAUUAGAUACCCUAGUAGU
Molecule: ribosomal RNA, 271 nt
Filed under: uncultured bacterium
Lineage: Bacteria
Description: partial 16S ribosomal RNA
Rfam family: Bacterial small subunit ribosomal RNA
Source: RNAcentral